GCGUAAGCGCGCGCAGGUGGUUUCUUAAGUCUGAUGUGAAAGCCCACGCCUCAACCGUGGAGGGUCAUUGGAAACUGGGAGACUUGAGUGCAGAAGAGGAAAGUGGAAUUCCAUGUGUAGCGGUGAAAUGCGUAGAGAUAUGGAGGAACACCAGUGGCGAAGGCGACUUUCUGGUCUGUAACUGACACUGAGGCGCGAAAGCGUGGGGAGCAAACAGGAUUAGAUACCCUGGUAGUCCACGCCGUAAACGAUGAGUGCUAAGUGUUAGAGGGUUUCCGCCCUUUAGUGCUGAAGUUAACGCAUUAACCACUCCGCCUGGGGAGUACGGCCGCAAGGCUGAAACUCAAAGGAAUUGACGGGGGCCCGCACAAGCGGUGGAGCAUGUGGUUUAAU
This 393-nucleotide ribosomal RNA is filed under the name Geobacillus stearothermophilus. RNAcentral describes it as "bacterial SSU rRNA". It matches the Rfam family "Bacterial small subunit ribosomal RNA", at positions 558 to 950 of the family's 1533-position model. The record is from RNAcentral. Lineage: Bacteria; Bacillati; Bacillota; Bacilli; Caryophanales; Anoxybacillaceae.